RNAcentral lists this ribosomal RNA (703 nucleotides) under uncultured delta proteobacterium. Its description in RNAcentral is "partial 16S ribosomal RNA". It matches the Rfam family "Bacterial small subunit ribosomal RNA", at positions 355 to 1043 of the family's 1533-position model. The record is from RNAcentral. Lineage: Bacteria; Deltaproteobacteria.
GUGGGGAUCUUGGGCAAUGGGCGGAGCCUGNCCCAGCGACGCCGCGUGAGGGAAGAAGGCCCUCGGGUCGUAAACCUCUGUCAGGAGGGAAGAAAAUGCUAGAGAUUAACAGUUUUUAGUAUUGACGGUACCUCCAGAGGAAGCGCCGGCCAACUCCGUGCCAGCAGCCGCGGUAAUACNGGAGGGCGCAAGCGUUAUUCGGAAUUACUGGGCGUAAAGCGCGCGUAGGCGGCAACGUAAGUCAGGUGUGAAAGCCCUCGGCUCAACCGGGGGAUGGCACUUGAAACUGCGUAGCUGGAGUUCUGGAGAGGGUGGCGGAAUUCCCGGUGUAGGAGUGAAAUCCGUAGAGAUCGGGAAGAACACCAGAGGCGAAGGCGGCCACCUGGCCAGAAACUGACGCUGAGGCGCGAAAGCGUGGGUAGCAAACAGGAUUAGAUACCCUGGUAGUCCACGCCGUAAACACUGGAUGCUAGAUGCGGGUGGCGUUANAAGUCAUUCGUGUCGCAGCUAACGCGUUAAGCAUCCCGCCUGGGGAGUACGGCCGCAAGGCUGAAACUCAAAGGAAUUGACGGGGGCCUGCACAAGCGGUGGAGUNUGGUGGUUUAAUUCNAUGCANCNCNAAAAACCUUACCUGGGCUUGACAUNCCNGGNAAUCNCCUGGANACAGNCNANNGCCCUUUNGGGANCCCNGNNACNNGGNNCU